RNAcentral lists this long non-coding RNA (468 nucleotides) under Vigna radiata. RNAcentral's name for it is "long non-coding RNA (VRAD_LNC012639)". The record is from RNAcentral. Lineage: Eukaryota; Viridiplantae; Streptophyta; Magnoliopsida; Fabales; Fabaceae.
UGCAACGGAGUAUACAAUGCAACAAGCCCAGUAUAUUAGAGCAUGACAACACUAAUGAGGGAGGUGAUACUUACCUCUCGAAGCUUCCUUUGUUAUUGUUAGCUUUUGUUGCUAGCCUUGCUUCUUUCCCCCUAUGGUGGCUGAAUGCAGUUGUAGAGGACGGUCGGAAAUGGGCGAGAGGCGUCCAGAGCUGGUGGUCGGGCCUGGGUUGAUGUGAUGGUGAAGGUGAUGUUUUAAGAGUGAUCUCUUUUUUCCUUUGAGAAAAGAAUUCCGUAGUUGAUUGUCAAGUGUAGUGUGUAUCGUUCCGGGUGUGUGAGCUACACUCAUAAGAAAAGAGAGCUUAGUGGUGUCCUUCCUGGCCUGCCAGAACCAAACCGUAUCUGACAGAAUCAAACGUUUCCCAGCAGCAGAAACCGUUCUCGCCUGCCAAAGAUCCAAACCGUGCCCUGCCUCCCAGCCUUCCUUGUC